This 253-nucleotide ribosomal RNA is filed under the name uncultured bacterium. Its description in RNAcentral is "partial 16S ribosomal RNA". It matches the Rfam family "Bacterial small subunit ribosomal RNA", at positions 524 to 776 of the family's 1533-position model. The record is from RNAcentral.
GACGUAGGGCGCGAGCGUUGUCCGGAUUGAUUGGGCGUAAAGAGCUCGUAGGCGGCUCGUUGCGUCGGCUGUGAAAACCCGCAGCUCAACUGUGGGCCUGCAGCUGAUACGGGCGGGCUGGAGUUCGGUAGGGGAGACUGGAAUUCCUGGUGUAGCGGUGAAAUGCGCAGAUAUCAGGAGGAACACCGGUGGCGAAGGCGGGUCUCUGGGCCGAUACUGACGCUGAGGCGCGAAAGCUAGGGGAGCAAACGGG